Molecule: long non-coding RNA, 3626 nt
Organism: Alligator mississippiensis (American alligator)
Lineage: Eukaryota; Metazoa; Chordata; Crocodylia; Alligatoridae
Exons: 4
Source: RefSeq, a predicted model, not a curated record
UUUCUAGUUUGGCAAUGGCUAAUAACCUUGGGUAAUCCAGAGUUAAAUUUGUUACUCCAGAAGGACAGAGUGCUGCUAUUGGCUAAAUGCUGGCACCAGGUUUUGCCCUGCAUAGUAUAUAAAUGUGACUUCUGAAGUGCAAAUUGAUUCCCUGCUAGAAUGUGAAGUGGCUGCUGCUACACUUUAAGAUGGAAGCUUUGGGAAUAACAACCAUUUUCCUGAUGGUUUGUCUGUCUUGCUUUCUCUUCUUUUCAGCACAGAGAAAAAUAUCUGGAAAUGGGAAGCUGCCACCUGGACCCAUUGUUUUCCGUAUCAUAGGGAACAUGUUACAGCUGAACACUAAGAACUUACCCCAGUUUCUGUACAAGGGGUUAUUUUCAGCAAUGGGGAGCCAUGGAAGCAGCUCCGGUGAUUUGUCCUGACCACGCUGAGGAAUUUUGGGAUGGGGAAGAAAAGCAUUGAGAAGAAGAUCCAGAAGGAAGCUCAUUUUUUAGUGGAAAGUCUCAGGAACACACAUGGUGAGGACCACUUUCAUACGGAGCUAACAACGAUCUGUUUCGGGGUGGAUUAUUUUAGUAGUGACUCUUGGUCCCAGCUGAACCUGGGGUUCCAUUGUAUCAGUGCCACUAUCUGUUAGUCUAGAGAGAGAGAUGGAGGGAAGAGCUGAUAGGUUUUUCAGAUACAAAGAGUAGUCAUUAUAAAGAAGAUGGCAGUCUAUCUCCUGUGAACACCAAGAACAACUGGACAAGGAGUAAUAGGCUCAUAUUGCAGCAAGGGAGAAGGUGGUUAGAUAUUAGAUGUGGUUAAGCACUGGAACAGAUCACUUACAGAAGCUGUGGAAUGCCUGUAACUAAAAGUUUGUAAGAGCAAUUUAUACAAAUGUUUGGAUGAGAUAGUUUAGAUGGGGAUGAUUAUGCUGCUUGCAACUCGAUAACCUGAAAUCUCUCCCAGCCCUACUUUUCUAUGAUUCUACAGCCACCCAAAGCAGUGACUCUGGCAGAACGUCUGAGAAGGAUCCUCUUUUAAAUGGGAUCCUUUUGGCCAGUGCUGGUAAAUAAGCCCUACAUCAACAGGCAUCUGUUACUCUCUGAAGAACCGAUUGACCCUAAUCAGAUCAAAAAAUGUCAGGCAGAAUCCAGCAGAGGCACUAAAGUAAAAAAUGAUUCUAAGCAAAGCAUGGGUAAGUGUUUUUAAAAGGUGAGUGAUGAGAUUAGGGGAGCUCAAUGUCCCUGAAGAAUGUUAGAACUAGUCUUAGCCUGGGGUCAGAGAUCCAGAACCCUCACUAGCACCAGUGAACGUGAUGCUGAGGGCAAACUCGUCAAGUUAAAGCUGAACUCUUUGUGCUUGUUUUGUUCCAGAGUGGCCCUUUGACCCCACCUUUUUCCUCACCCAUGCUGUCUCCAACAUCAUCUGCUCUACUGUCUUUGGGAACUGGUUUGACUAUGAAGAUAAGAAGUUUCUAACUUUAAUCAGACUGAUAGAGGAAAAUGAAAAUCUCUUCCGCUCUCCAGUGGGAAAGUAUAUCACCCGGGUCAACUGUGCUAGUGCCACCUUCCUCAAGCUGCGGCAAUGUGUCUUCAAAAAUAAGGCCCUUCAGAAGUAGACAAAGGUCCUGGUUUACACGACUGUCAUGCUGACUACCCUCCUCUACUGCAGUGAAAUCUGGACCAUCUACCAAUGCCACAUUAAGACCCUCAAGAGCUUUCACCAGUGGUGCUUGCGUUGUAUCCUGGGGACCAAAUGGGAGGACCGCCAGAUCAGCAUGAGCAUCCUCCAUGAAGUUGCGUCCACCAACAUCAAAGCCUUGCUUUUGAGAAAUCAACUCCAAUGGAUAGGCCACUGCAUCCAGAUAUCCAAGAACCACCUUCCUCACCAGAUUCUCUUCUUCCAGCUCUCUGUUGGCCAACGCUCAAAGGGUGGCCAAAGGAAACAGUACAAAGACAUGCUCAAGGUCGCCCUCAAGCACGGAGGCAUUGACAUCAACAUCUGGGAGGAGCAAGCUGCUGACCAUUCAGCAUGGCACCACCUGGUCCACCAAGGCAUGCGCCAUUUCAAGACCCAAUGACUUGAUACCGAGGCAGAAUAGCGACGGUGGAGGAAGGAGGGGACCAACCCAGGGCUGUGAAUCCCACUCCCUCUUGCAACAACAUGCCCCCAUUGCCAAAGAAUGUGUGCAUCCAGAAUUGGGCUCCUCAGUCACCUGAGGACCCAUCAAGCCUGUCGGACAUCAUCCUUGAACCUCGAAGGAUCACCACCAGUGACCCUUACAAAUAAAUCACAAAGAAGGUUGUAAGGAGAAGGACUCAUCAUCUUUUUUAAUUAACAAUUUGUCAGAGACUUAAGCGAUGUGGAGUAGGAUCACAUUUACAUGGACUUAAACCCACUUUUCUCCAGCAUGGAGAAGGAUGUUUGGAAAUGGGAAGCUGCCACCUGAAGUCAUUGCUCUCCCCAUCACAGGGAAUACUCUGCAGCUGAGCACUAAGAACUUGCCUCAGUCUCUAUGGGUGCGCCUAUCUGAGCAUGGUUUACUGUAAAGUAAGCAUGUGUGUGUAUAAGUGUAUAGCAAAACCCCCCGUUGUUCUUUUUUUUUAUUUAGAAAUAUGACAUCCCCUUUUCCCCCAUCCUGUCUGCCUUUUUAUUUCCCCUCCUCUAUUCCCUAUGGGUAUAUAUAUAUAAGUGGUUAUAAGUUAAGUUGAAAACCCUGUGUAUAUAAGUCCCCUUUUAUAGUAACCAUGAGCUAUUGCAAUAGUGCUUUGCUGUGUGUGUUGGAUUACUGUAAUGUAUUACACCAUAUGGUUAUUGUGUCUUAAGUGUCUCUAUGUUAACAUUGUAUGAUUUAGGCCUGCAGUGUGGGUUGGCAUGAGUGAUGUCAAGUAUCCAUUUUGUGCGUCAGGUUCCCAUCUUGUUCCCAUCUUGUCCCCAUGCCUUGUUGUGUAAGUAUGUUGUAAUUAUGAAGUCUGUAACCUCUCUCAUGUAAACUGGUUUUCCUUGAAUGCCUGAAACAAAAGGGUGAAUGCAUGAGUGAAAGACGAUGAUAGGCAGGACCCCCUAUUAAAUCACCCCACCAUCAAAACCAAUACCUGGACCAAGGACCCAGCCAUUGGAACCAGCCUCAGCAUUCAGGAAACAAAAGACAAGGCAACCCACCAUUGUGCCAAGCUGCACCUGCUCAGUAUGAACAUCUGGAACCCUCUGGAACAGGGCUGACCUUGCCCGGACAUGCCUCCCCACAGGAGACCACAGGUAGUCUGACCCAUAAAAGGGGUAGUAAAGACUGACUCCUUGAGACAUCAUCUUCACCUGAACCAGACCUGCUCCACAUCAUGUUGCCUAUCAGCCCAGAGGCCCUGCUGGCAACCCCCUCUGGACAACACCUGCUGGAGAAAGACCCUGACUGGCCAUCGAGGACCCCCUCCCAGCCUGGAUAGGUAGCUGUCACCCCCACUCUCUCUUCAACCAAGGACUUGGGCUCUGUAUCUCUUCCUUACCUGGACUCCAACCCUUCCACUGAGUCUCUUUCUCCUGCUACCACUGUGUGAGUGUGUGGGAGUGCUUGUGUGAGUGUGUGUGGGAGCCAAGCUGUACAGUACAGUGUUCAUUUAAUAAAACUCUUAUUUGGACCCUGA